UUACCUGGUUACUUUCGUUUUCCCUGGUUGAUUAUUUUUCAUUUGUGUUUUCCCGUCUGUGUACGUUGUUAGUUCUGUUAUCCUCCGCUUUAUUUUGUGUUCGUUAAGGUUUAUUUUGGACUUUCGCUUUUUGUUCUAGUUAGAUUUGUGUGUGUGUUUUUGCCUGCCCGGUUUCCUUCUCCCCCGGCGGCUUGGAGCGGUACUGUUCCCGGAGAUUGCAGUGGAAGCCAACCAAUGGAUCGCUGGAGGGCGGACCUCACUCACCUGUGCCUCAUUUUCCACCUAAUCAGCUACUGCUUAUAAACGCCGGCUUUUUCACCACCAGUCACCAGAUUGUCUGCUUGUCACCGCGCCCAGCGAUCCAUUCACCAUCUGGCUUCCCUGCGCUCCUGUUGGUUCCUGAACUAGGCUCCUUGCUCCCGUGACCCCGGUUUACCUCUCACUGCCACUGCUUGUUCUUCCUCUGCCCUGGACGGCUUUGGACACCUACCCCUCUUGGACCUGGACACAUCACAGCUCCUCAUCUCCCAAAGAACCGCUCCAGCCGCUUCCUCAGUGUCCCCUGUUUGGACUUAUCGCUAUUUUCCCUGUCUUCCUGUAUUUCAAUAAAUAUUCAUUGCCAA
This is a long non-coding RNA of Trichomycterus rosablanca, 623 nucleotides long. RefSeq lists it as uncharacterized. Lineage: Eukaryota; Metazoa; Chordata; Actinopteri; Siluriformes; Trichomycteridae. The record is from RefSeq and is a predicted model, not a curated record. The transcript has 2 exons.